Molecule: ribosomal RNA, 253 nt
Filed under: uncultured bacterium
Lineage: Bacteria
Description: partial 16S ribosomal RNA
Rfam family: Bacterial small subunit ribosomal RNA
Source: RNAcentral
UACGGGGGGGGCAAGCGUUGUUCGGAAUUACUGGGCGUAAAGGGCUCGUAGGCGGCCAACUAAGUCAGACGUGAAAUCCCUCAGCUUAACUGAGGAACUGCGUCUGAUACUGGAUGGCUUGGAUUCGGGAGAGGGAUGCGGAAUUCCAGGUGUAGCGGUGAAAUGCGUAGAUAUCGGGAAGAACACCCGUGGCUAAGGCGGCUCUCUAGUACGGUACUGACGCUGAGACGCGAAAGCGUGGGGAGCGAACAGG